AUCCAGAAAGCCCUAGAUUAUGGAAAAUAUCCAUUUUGUCCCGACACAAAUUUUCUCUCCUUCCCAUUAGCGCCGACAGCCCUCUCCCCUAUCCCCUUUCGUUUUUCCGAUCACCACUUGGACCGGCCGUCACCAACACCUCCUACCGUCGCCGCCUCUCCACCAACCUCUCCUUCUCCACUCUGUUUUCGGCGAGCAUAGUUAUCGCAGGAGAUGCUGCGAUUCUUUUUUCUCUCGAUCGGUAGCAACGAUCUCUCUCUCAUCUCCGGCGACACCAGCCUUUACCGUCGAUUCCACCUCGUCCCAGCGCCUUCGACCACCACUCCUCCACCUCCAGUUUCUCUCUCUUUCUGUUUCCGCUAGCGCAGCAAAGGCGAGCUGUUCUCUUCCGAUCGGCACAGCCUCCUUCAGCUCCUAUCUUCGAUUCUCCGGCAAGAUCAACCAAAGACGGCCGAUUAGACCCUUCUCUUGGCGUUAAUAGCUUUGUCGGCCACUGUCCUCGUCAGUUCCAGCCAAGUUAGCAUCGACAGUACCAGUUUUGAGCAUUGGAGCUAUUUCCGGUCAUUUUAACCGGAAAUUUUCAGUUUUCGACACAUUCUACAGCUAGAUUGUCAGGGUUGCCUACUGCUCCUCCAAGUCAAAAAUCCAAACUAACGGUUCUUCUCUAUUCUUACUUGGGUCACUACGAGUUUGUGAGGGCGGUCUACGAUACCGUCGGCCAUAUAUGGGGAAAGUGGCGUCUCCAUGUGCAUCUGAUGAUAUAUAAUAUGGAAAACCGAUGAUAUAUGAUAAGGAAAAUCACAGGGUGGCCUCCUGUUAGUAUAGAAAAGAAAAGAGAGUAUAAAAAAAAUAAGUGAGAAUUAGACUGGUCGGCCAUGUAUGGGGGAUCGACUCCUUGGUACUCACGUUUGAGAGAGCGAGCAUGUAGGAGGACAGCUCGUUGGGGGUUUCGUGACGCCAUUGACUAAUUUCCACUUGGUUGAUUAUUUGAAGGUGAAAUUAUUUAUGGGUGCUGAUAUUGUGCCAUAUGCUUGACUGGUUGUGUGUUUAUUUUAAUAUUUUAGGAUGCAUUUCGCGUGAAUGCCUGUAUUAUUUAUUAUUUAUUAUUAUUCAGUUGAAAAACUCAUCAAAUUUUUAUUUAAAUUUCUCCAGGAAGUAGAUUCUUCCCACUCCUACACAAGCUCUGUUUCUUUCACCACAGAGCUAGAAAUGUAAUCUUUAUUUUUCAGUAAUUAUUUUGAUUACUUUGGUGGUUGUAUGAUAACCAAUUUUGUCUUAGAUGUCAUUUAAACUCUGUAGUUGUAAGAUUAUUAAGUCAUUUGUUAUAUACGGAUAUAGGUAUGUUGACCAUUAAAUGAAUGUUAAUGGAAUAAAUGCAUAUGAUGUAUAUGAACCAGCUAGCUCAUAUGGUAUUGUUAUAGGUAUAGUAUAAUUGGGGACCGAGAAAAUUGAAUAAAUGGUAAA
Molecule: non-coding RNA, 1464 nt
Organism: Jatropha curcas
Lineage: Eukaryota; Viridiplantae; Streptophyta; Magnoliopsida; Malpighiales; Euphorbiaceae
Source: RefSeq, a predicted model, not a curated record